AUGAAAUCAUCAUGUGACUUCACAGGAAAUUUGAUCACAGGCUCAGGUGGAAUAAGUCAUAGUUUCCUCUGGGUGCCCAGCCCUGUUCAUGCUGGCUGUGGCUUCAGGACACUGCCCCUCCAGGAGAAACUGCAAGAGAAAACUGUUCAGGAACAUCUUCAGGUUAGAUCCUCCUCCUACAUUUCAUCUCCUGAAUUCUCCAGUGGUUCUCAAUAUAUCCCUGACAUCACAUCUGCAAAUCUGUCUGUUUUCUGUGAGAAAAUUUAAGAACCAAAGGUCAGUACCUAGCUUAUUCUAGAUUGACUUGUGAUUCUAAGAAUGUCCUACACAUAGGACUCAAACCAGUGACCUGAUGGUUUGGCCAUAUGUAUGGUCAAGCUGCAUCCUGACCACACAUAUGUACGGUUUGUUCCACUCAGUCUGGGUGUACAGACGUGCAUACAUACCUGUAUAUUUAAUAUGAAUUCAUGGCCAGAAUUUUAAAAUUAGGAAGAAAUUUUUUUCCUAAUUUCUGAUUCUUCCUUUAAAAUGAAAUUAAAAGGAUCAGUAACACUGACCUCAAAUUCCCAAAAUAUAACAAUUGGCUGAAAUCUUCAGGUAGCAGCUUCUGCCUUGAGGUGGGUCUGGGCCCACCAUCUCCACAAUCCACAAAGUGGUUGGUAUAAGCAGUUCCCUCCUACUAAGACAAUAAUUUAAUGAGAUACAGGAAACAAGGGACAAUGAAAUUCUCUGCACUUGUGAUGCAGAGGAAAGCAUUCUUUUAGAAAGGGUCAUCAGGAGCAUGGGGAACCUAACUCUGGUGCAGAGAAGGGACACCUAUUUUUAGUGAUGUUACAUCAUUUUCAUUAGUUAUUGUGGAUGGACUUGAAUGGCUCCUUCAGUUGUUGCCAUGGAAACCAUGAACUAGUGAGCAUUGUCUAGCAGCCUGGGUCAUGUGACUUUAAAAAGAAAGAAACUUUUGAAAAUACCUAACUAAAGAAUUUCUGGAAUGAGAAGCAGGCAGGAUAAAGUAUUCAAGGUGCUUAUGAAUUCCAUCUGAGAAGCACAGGCUAAUGGGAAAUCCCAACUGAGGCCGAGUGGGUGAACCCUCAUCCCUUCCUGUUUAGCUCAAAUGCCUGCUAGGACUGCAGCGAGGACCUCAGAGCUCAAGCCUCAGGUCUUCCUAGGCUAAGUGAUUGCAAGGAGAUAAAGGAGCUUUUGUCCUCAUCUUAGCUUCACACGAUCUGGUUACAGGCUCCUGCGCCCUCUCCUCUGCUAUAGGGAACAUCCGCUUAUGUAAAAAUAUCAUCAACAAAGCAUCACAAAGACUUUCUUGUCUGCUGAAGUGGAACAGAGACAGCAGGCUUCACCCCCAAAUUCAACUUCGCUUCCACGUUCUUGCUCAAAUCAUUAACUCUCCAAUUAAACUCAGGUCUGGAAAACAGGGCCACAAAGUCCUCUGAAACACUGAAGCCAGAAACAAAUGAACAAGGCUUAAGAGUCCGAGGACACAGGAUUCCAGGAGAGACAAAUAUAGAAGCUCUCGGAGCCAAAAAAUUCACUGUAUCUCCUGAGUGAUUUAUUUUACAAUUUAGACAAGUUUUAGGAUAAAGAAUUUUAAAACUCAUUUAUUUUUAGGUAAACCUCUCUCCUU
Long non-coding RNA from Bos grunniens (domestic yak), 1633 nucleotides. The record is from Ensembl. Lineage: Eukaryota; Metazoa; Chordata; Mammalia; Artiodactyla; Bovidae.